This 253-nucleotide ribosomal RNA is filed under the name uncultured bacterium. Its description in RNAcentral is "partial 16S ribosomal RNA". It matches the Rfam family "Bacterial small subunit ribosomal RNA", at positions 524 to 776 of the family's 1533-position model. RNAcentral also lists the same sequence under 1 other name. The record is from RNAcentral.
UACGGAGGGGACUAGCGUUGUUCGGAAUUACUGGGCGUAAAGCGCGCGUAGGCGGAUUUGCAAGUCGGGGGUGAAAGCCCGAGGCUCAACCUCGGAACUGCCCUCGAUACUGCAAAUCUCGAGUCCGAGAGAGGUGAGUGGAAUUCCUAGUGUAGAGGUGAAAUUCGUAGAUAUUAGGAAGAACACCAGUGGCGAAGGCGGCUCACUGGCUCGGUACUGACGCUGAGGCGCGAAAGCGUGGGGAGCAAACAGG